Molecule: non-coding RNA, 117 nt
Organism: Desulfobacteraceae bacterium IS3
Lineage: Bacteria; Pseudomonadati; Thermodesulfobacteriota; Desulfobacteria; Desulfobacterales; Desulfobacteraceae
Source: Rfam
UUCGGUGGUAAUAGCAAAGAGGAAACACCCGUUCCCAUCCCGAACACGGAAGUUAAGCUCUUUAGCGCUGAUGGUACUGCAUGGGCAGCUGUGCGGGAGAGUAGGACAUUGCCGAGA